This is a long non-coding RNA of Syngnathus acus (greater pipefish), 395 nucleotides long. RefSeq lists it as uncharacterized. NCBI's taxonomy places the organism in Eukaryota, Metazoa, Chordata, Actinopteri, Syngnathiformes, Syngnathidae. The record is from RefSeq and is a predicted model, not a curated record. The transcript is spliced from 3 exons.
UCAGACAGGUCGCAGCGGACAACUCAGCAAAAUGAAGACAUCUACCAAGACAGUUCCUUUUUAACAAAGACCCUUUUGAUCUGAUCAACAACAUGCCUCGUCGCUAUCUCGCACCCCCCAAUGAACCUGCAAGUGAUCACUCAUGUUUCCUGAUUUCAUCACAGACACAAAGAAUGAACGUUGAUCACUCAUGUUUCCUGAUUUCAUCACAGACACAAAGAAUGGUUGCUGAUCACUCAUACUCCUCAUCACACUGUUCCAUAUCAGUAUGUAACACCUUGUGAUUUUUCUGCUUACGAGACAAAGCCCACGUGCUUUCCCCCUUCCCUUUAGGGGCGUUUGUCUCAUUUUGUGGGUAGGGCAAAUCCAAAUAAAAAGCGCAGGAGUGCAUACAG